Long non-coding RNA from Terrapene triunguis (Three-toed box turtle), 341 nucleotides. RefSeq lists it as uncharacterized. NCBI's taxonomy places the organism in Eukaryota, Metazoa, Chordata, Testudines, Emydidae. The transcript is spliced from 3 exons. The record is from RefSeq and is a predicted model, not a curated record.
AGGAUGAGGAGCCUUUUAACCCUGACUACGUGGAGGUCGACCGGAUCCUGGAUGAGUCUCACAGUGUCGAUAAGGACAACGGAGAGCCGGUGAUCUAUUACCUGGUGAAGUGGUGCUCCCUGCCUUAUGAGGACAGUACCUGGGAGCUUAAGGAGGACGUGGACGAGGGGAAGGUCCGUGAGUUCAAACGCAUCCAGGCCCGGCACCCUGAGCUCAAACGCGUGGCCCGUCCCCAGGCCAUCUCCUGGAAAAAACUGGAGCUCUCCCACGAGUACAAGAACCGCAACCAGCUACGGGAGUAUCAGCUGGAGGGGGUCAACUGGCUGCUCUUCAACUGGUAC